This 4533-nucleotide long non-coding RNA is filed under the name Oryza sativa Indica Group (long-grained rice). RNAcentral describes it as "lncRNA OsIR64_11g0014670". Lineage: Eukaryota; Viridiplantae; Streptophyta; Magnoliopsida; Poales; Poaceae. The record is from RNAcentral.
AUGGCCGGACUGUUUGCCACUCUUGCCAUCAGGAAGGCACUGGACAAGCUCUCCUCCAUCCUGCCAGCAAUAAGCCUAUUGGCAUCCUCCUCGUCGGCAGCUGCUAUGGUGAGGCAAGGGCAUGAGCAAGAUCUGGAGGACCUCCGGAUGCUGGAGCGGACGAUGCACAGGAUCCACGCGACUCUGAAGGACGCGGAGCAGCACUGGGACAUCCGUGAUGAAAGCGCCAAGCUGUGGCUCAAGGAGCUCAAGGAGCUAGCGUAUGACGCGGAGGACUUGGUGGACGAGUACGAGUACGAGCUCCAGGUGAACCGUUGCAAGGCUGAGGCUCUCCAGCCAUCUGCAAGCGUGGCCAGCCACAAGCGUAAGUGGCAACAGGAACAGGAAAAUGAGGUCUUGUACCAUAAUACUGGUAUGGCACAUGUUCCAGAAGAGCUGGCUCUUAAAGCAAGGAAACUUAUUAAGAGAUUCCAUGAAAUCCAAUAUUAUUCUGAUAAUUUUACUUUAUCGGAGAAUGAUGGAGAGAGACGGUUUGCUCCUAAUAUUGGUACUCUACCCAAGACUAGCUCUAUUAUAUAUGCACCGAAAAUUAUUGGAAGAGAGCAAGACAAGGACAACAUUGUACAAAAGUUGUUGUCCAUGACGAGUGACAGUGUAGCUACUCCAGUUUCUAUCUUGGCUAUUGUCGGUAUGGGUGGAUUAGGCAAGACAACAUUAGCACAGCUUGUAUAUAACGACUCAAGGAUACAAGGGUUUUUUGACAUGCAUGCAUGGGUUUGUGUGUCAGAGCAAUUUGAUCCUACUUACAUAACAAAGAGCAUCAUAAGUUCAUUAAAGAAGGAUUAUUCUGAUCUAUCGGAAGUUUGUAGUCCUCAUGAGACAUUGGCAAAACGAAUAAAGCAAAAGAUGCAAGUUGCUUUUACUGUUGACAAUGGAAACACUCCAAACCUUCAAGAGAUCGGAAUGUCUAUUGUUAAAAAGUGUAAGGGCUUACCUUUAGCAAUUAAGACACUAGCCAGCAUGUUGCGCUAUGAAACAUGUGAACAGAGAUGGAAAGAUGUCAUAGAAAGCGAGUUGUGGGACUUGGAGCAACCAAGGAAUGAGGUUUUGCCAUCCUUGGAGUUGAGCUACAAGAACAUGCCUAUAUACCUAAAACGAUGUUUUGUUGCCAUCUCUCUAUAUCCAAAAGACUAUAUAUUCUAUAGAAACCAGGUGCUUCAAUUGUGGAAAGUACUAGACCUCCUUCAAAGUGACAGACAUAAUAAUGAGACUGAAAUUGGAAAUAGAUAUCUCGAUGAAUUGGUUGAGCGGUCAUUUCUUCUAUUUCUUCUAACAAAGGUUGAUGGACAUUACUACAAGAAAUACUUAAUGCAUGAUCUUAUUCACGAUCUUGCAUGCUUUCUUUCUGCAGAUGAGUUCUUUAGACUUGAUGAUAGCAGUACAUCCAUUGAAAUUCCACAAAAUGCUCGGUACAUAUCUAUCCAAAAUUUGGCAUCCAGUGAGAUUUCAAUCACACCACUUGCUUUGAGGGCCAUCAUAGUGUUGCCUAGAGCAGAAGUGAACAUUAAUAAUUCAGAAGCAUUAUUUUCUAACUGUGAAAAGUUACGAGCCCUCGUGUUAGGUGAAGGCUGUCUGGAUCAAAACUUACCUGCCUUAAUGGGAAGGUUGAAAUUACUACGCCAUUUGAAACUUGUCACAAGCUUCUUUAGUCACUCUGAUCCAUGCUGGGACCACGUUGAUGGACUACGUGGAAUUGGGCACCUAAAUAACAUGCUUACUUUGCCUCCAAUUCAUCUGAGAAAUGAUCGAAUAAUAGAGCUAAGGAGCUUGAACAAGCUAAGGGAGUUGAGAAUAGGUGGGUUGGGACUGCACUUGACUAUCGAUGGAGCAAAGGAUGCUAGGCUACAGAGCAAAAGGCACCUACAAUUACUAAGCUUGGAUUUUGGAGAUUGCUGUCCAGAUCACAACCAACAAGUGCAGCUACUUGAGAGCCUGCGACCACAUCGCAACCUCAGAGAAUUGAUAAUAAUGAACUACGAGGGUCUGAAGUAUCCCUAUUGGUUGGGCGAUGCUUCCUUUUCCAACUUGACUCAAAUAGAACUCGGUUAUUCUCACAUUCAGUACCUUCCAACGCUCGGUGAUCUUCCGUCCCUCGUGUCCCUCCAUAUCCAUGACAUGAUGAUUGUCGAGCGAAUUGGCUGGGAGUUUUGCAGCCAUUUUCAUGGUGUUAAGGGAUUCCCAUCAUUGACACAGUUGAGAUUCAAUUGGAUGCAUAAGUGGUCAGAAUGGUCUGGAAUUGUUGACGGUGGAUUUCCACGCCUGCGCACUCUUUCGAUCUGCCAUGCCCACAGUCUAAGGCUUGAUAACAUUGAAUCAUUUCCGUUCAGAUCCUUGAUAACUCUCGAACUGGACAAAUGCUGCUGCAUCACAACCAUUCCUGCAUCGACUUCACUACGCACGCUGCGCAUUGAUCGGCGGAGCUUUGACUUGCGCAGAAGCUCAACUGAUGGUCCGCGGCUGAAUCGCCUCCCGUCCUUGGAGUGUUUAACAGUCAUCUGCCAUGACACCACAAGCAUCCUUCUUCAGCCACAGCACCUGCCUUCACUCAAGAAGCUCAACUUGAGCUGCGAAAAACUGCAGUACUGCGAUGGACUUUCAGGCCUCACUUCCCUCUCGGUGCUCAAGCCUUGGGGAUGCCCAAAGCUCCCAAUUCAUAGUUUGAUCCCACAGCUGCAGCUACAGACUCUGGAUGUUCGUUGCUCACCAGGAAUCGAGUGGGCUGCCAAUGGGCCUGUACAACCAUUCAUUCAAGCUGGCCCAAGCAAACCCAAGUUUGGUGAUUUGGUUGCUAACAAUACGGUAUCAGAGCCGCUGAUCCAUGGGAUUUCAAGCAUGGAGGCAACGGGGAAGUACCGCUGCGGCGUCCCGUGCAGUUGGUCAUUGGAUUUGGGCAAGGCUACUGCUCAUGGCACCAACGCCCACAACCUGUUCGGUGAAAUGUCAAGCCAAGGAGAGGUGUCCCAAGAAGAUCUCAAGAUAUCUAAGGCCGUCCCCAUCAAUUCCCCCAUGAACAAAGAGGAGAAAAUGAUGGAUGAAGCUCUGGAUCAGAUAUUGGAGAAGCUUGAACAAAUGAAGACCAAGCGUAGGUGCAAUGAGAAGAUUGAUCAGAUUUUGGAGAAGUUGGACGAGAUAGAAGCUAAUAGGCGCAAAUCAUUCGAGGAGACAACUAACAUCAUCAAGGCGACAACCUCCAUCUUCAAUUCUGCAUCAUCUUCAACACCCCCGACCUCGCCUACUCCAGUGCUCGCCAAGUGUUCGUGGGCGUGUUCCAACAGUGCCAGUGCGUACACGACAACAAGUGCAAGCCACAACAUCGAUGUUCCUACUCCGACAGUCGCCAUGGGCUUGCAGGUGAGUUUGAACCAUGGCAUUGGUACUACAACAGUGACGCCCACCAAGUGCUUGGUAAAUUGCUUCGACAAUGACACCGGUGUGAAUCAUGCCAUUCUUGAGGAGUCGUUUGCUAGUACCACUGCUGCAGCCACCAUGGAGACAGUGGUUAGCGAGGACAAGGCCUGCUCUAUUUUCAUCAAUACUACUGACCUCACCAAGGUUAUGCAUUCAAGGUGUACGACAAUCAGCCUCAAAGACAACAUCGGUACUAUUCAGGCCGAGGUUGCAUUCCCCUUUCCGUUUCACACACUGAACAUGAUUGCAGCACCAAAGGAGCCCAUGCUAGUCAUAGCAGAAAAGUUGGAUUCCAUUUUCUGCAUAAAAUUGGUGAUGCCCAACGGGUGUUUGAUGAAAUGCCUCAAAAGUGACAAGAGGCUGCUGGCGGGGCUUCCCAAGAGAAAACCUUGGCCACUUCCUUGGUCAGGUGGUGUGGUUAGAGGAGGGAAUGUGUGGCAUGUUCCAUGGUCUGCAUUUGAUUCCGUUUGGACAAGUGUAUGUCUAAUACCACCAUGGCCACCGCCAAUUAGACUUAAGCAAUGCAGGUCCUGGAAAAUUGGAGUGGCAAUUAGUCUGUUUGCUUGGAAGGCACAGUGGGAUUUCGUUAGUUACAGGAGCUGCACCGUUGUUGAAAUUUCUAGAAUGCAUGAGCUUGCCUUGUUGGUGCUAUUAACUCAAGACCCAAGUGAUGAUAAAAGAGAUGACUUGCUACCGGCAUCCAAAAAUCCAUUCACCUCCUAUAUGAUGGCACAAUAUUUUGAGGUUAUUGAAAGCAGGCUUAUUAGUGAUAUAAGCCACUUGGAUGGCAACAAUGUUCAGGAUACUUGGGACUGCAAGGGAAUUCUAGUUAUACUAGAAGAUGGUACCAGCAAAUGGAGAAUGCAAGGGAUCAAGCCAAGUGCAAGCAAGAAUAUAAUUUCAGCAUGGAAGAAUGUUUUUAUUCCAACCAUCAAAUCAGUCUUGGAAGGUGACAAGCAAUUCUGCAUUUACAAGCCAAAUAUUAGCACUUAUUUGCUAUGUCAUGUUGCUAUGCCAACUAUUCUUGGAAGGCUGAAAACAAGAGGCACAAUUGUUAAGCUUGUG